AGCAGCCGCGGUAAUUCCAGCUCCAAUAGCGUAUAUUAAAGUUGUUGCAGUUAAAAAGCUCGUAGUUGAAUUUCGGAAUCGACGGAUUGGUCGCGCCUUCGGUGUGUACUGGUCUUGCCGGUUUCUCCCUUCUGACGAACCACGAUGUCAUUAAUUUGGUGUCGUGGGAAAUCAGGACUGUUACUUUGAAAAAAUUAGAGUGUUUAAAGCAGGCAUUAGCUUGAAUACAUUAGCAUGGAAUAAUGAAAUAGGACGUUUGAUCUUAUUUUGUUGGUUUCUAGGAUCGACGUAAUGAUUAAUAGGGAUAGUUGGGGGCAUUAGUAUUCAAUUGUCAGAGGUGAAAUUCUUGGAUUUAUUGAAGACUAACUACUGCGAAAGCAUUUGCCAAGGAUGUUCUCAUUAAUCAAGAACGAAAGUUAGGGGAUCGAAGACGAUCAGAUACCGUCGUAG
RNAcentral lists this ribosomal RNA (450 nucleotides) under uncultured Glomeromycotina. RNAcentral describes it as "SSU rRNA". It matches the Rfam family "Eukaryotic small subunit ribosomal RNA", at positions 569 to 1023 of the family's 1831-position model. Lineage: Eukaryota; Fungi; Glomeromycota. The record is from RNAcentral.